This 1797-nucleotide long non-coding RNA is filed under the name Heterocephalus glaber (naked mole-rat). Its description in RNAcentral is "lncRNA (ENSHGLG00000049869.1)". The record is from RNAcentral. Lineage: Eukaryota; Metazoa; Chordata; Mammalia; Rodentia; Bathyergidae.
GCGCUCCCGCCUCCCCUGCGGCGGCCACUGCCCGGGAACGAGGCAAGAGAGGUAAAAAAGUAACUGGCAGAGAUCACACAGCCAGCCGCAGAGACGGGACCCAAUCCUGGGUACUAGGAGUCUACAGGCCCACCGUCUUAACCACACUGCUACACCACCUGCCAAUCACGGCGCACUAAAGUUCUCUUGUGUUGAUGGAUGCAUCAGAAUGACACUGCAUGAAAACUGCGAAUCAGAAGGCCAUGGAGCCCCCCAGUGGCUCAUGAUGUGGGAAUCAUGGUGGAGUGCACGGUGAAACAAGACUGCUCACUUCAUGGCCAGGGAACAAAGGAGAAGGGAGACGAGGCUGGGGUCCUGCAGUCUCGUUCCAGGGCACAGUCCCAGUGGCCCCCACUAAGCCCCACCCCUGAAAGAUGCCAACACCAAUCUGGGGACUAAGCCUUCAACGCAUAGGCCUUGGGAACAUUCUAGAUCCACGCUGUAGCAAGUAUCGUCUAGGCCUAGUGGCUCGCUUCUGAGGAACAGUUAACCACGCCAGUGGGAGGUCACCCCUGACAUCCAGGCUAUGAAUGACUCUGCUUUCUGUUUUGCUCAUCUGCCUGCUUGCUUGGAAGACAUGAGUUUGCCUGUGUCGAGCUGUGCACACAAAGGCUGACAGCCUGGGAGGACUAAAAGGAGCUGACUGCUGCCUCAGUCUCAUGGGUGAACUUGAAAGCCCGUCGUCCCCCAGCCAAGCCUUGGGAAGACACCAGCCCGGGCUGACUCCUGGACUUCAGUCCAUGGGAGACCCUGUGCCUUGGACUCAGCCAAGCUGUGUUUCAUCUCCAGACCCACAGAAAUUGUAAGACAAGAAAUGCUGCUAUGUUAAGAUGCUGAAUCCGUCACUGACAUAGCUGUUUAAGUGUAUUUCAGAGCUCUGACUCUGCAUCUGACCACAGGCCUAUUUCCUGGCUAGAAAAAGGACAAAAACGUUCAACUGCCAUUGGCAUAAGGUGAAGAUGCAGUGCUAGAUAAAGAAGCAAUUGUGAGAGAGAUGAGGCAUCAGUAUGGCUUUUCCAAUUAGCCCCAGUCUUCCCUAGCUCAACACCCCAGAGUCAUACUGUGCCCCUACACCACUCGGGGGUGGACUGUCCACUGUGCCCCAGCCAGAGCUGGUCCUUUUUGUCCCCUCAGCUGCCAGCCACAGUGUCAGCUGGCCCACACUGCUAAAACUUUGUAGUGUGUGAUUGUUACUCAUUAUGGAUAAUAAUAGUAUAUGCAGUUAUAUAUUCACAAUAUACAAGUAAUGCUAGGACGUGCAGUUUGAUGCAUCACCUGAUCCAUGAGCAAUGGAAAGUUUCCACAGACGCAAAACACCAGUUGCUCCCCCAUGCUUCGCCUCACCAUCUGCCACACAACCACAGAAUCCUGCGUGCCAGCCUGAUGCCAUUUGGGCACGUGGCAAACAGAAGCAGAAAUUUGAAACCCGUGUCUUACCUGGUGCUUAGCAACACGGUAUCCCCACACCUAACUAAAAGGAGGUGGUGUGCAGUGUGAUGGUCACACUGCGGGGAAUGUGCCCUUUGUGGCUGCCAUAUGUGGAUUUCUUCUCUGAGAGCUUGUGAGUCACUAGGAUCUUCAUUUUGGCUCAACCCACUGCCUGCCAUGCUUGGAGAACCAAGUUGAAAAGAGCAGGAGCAUUUUCAGUGAUAAUAAGCAUGUUCCUAUAGCCAACUCCUCCAUCUGUUCCUACAGUUUCCGUCUACAGGAAUGUACAAAGGUUCUGCAAAACAGAUUUAAGACUAGCCAAGGUCCAUG